This 1821-nucleotide long non-coding RNA is filed under the name Phoenix dactylifera (date palm). RNAcentral describes it as "long non-coding RNA (PDAC_LNC009771)". The record is from RNAcentral. Lineage: Eukaryota; Viridiplantae; Streptophyta; Magnoliopsida; Arecales; Arecaceae.
UUCAAAGCAAUGGCAAUGGAGGCUAGGGUUCUUUAUGGUGGAAGGAAGGAGGAAGAAGAUGGUUUGCUGGAUGGCGAGAUUGGGUUCCAGGAGGGUCAGCCAAUGGACCAAAUUGGACACCAAUUUUAGUGGGGGCUGAAAUUGGCUAGACCAAUUGAUUAGGCUGAAUUGGACUUUGUGGAGUCCUAAUGUCAAUAGGACUUAGAGGAGGACAUGGGAAAGGAGUCUUAGGCGUGAGGGAGGCGCUGAAAUGCUGAUGUGGCACUCAAGGAGGGCGCACACAAGGGGUGGAGGCGUGAGAACAAAGGAAGGGAUAAGGAUAAACUUGAGUUGGUUAGGAAAAUCUCAUCCAAAACAAACCCAGCUUGUGAUGGCGUAAAGGGGAGGCGUCCCACCUCUUCCUUCAGCUCCCUUGGCGUCGCACCAAGCAAGAGAAUAGCUUCUCUUCACGUAAACAAAAGGAAAAUUUCAAAAUCCAAAACUAAUUUCAUUCACCAUACCCUCCUUUAUAUAGAAAGAAAGGUUGGCAAAGGAUAAGGAUAAGGACUACACAGAAUUUUAAAUUGGACUCCUAAUUACAUGAGGACUCAAUUCAAAAUUUAAAUUUUCUAAUUGACCAAUCAAAGGCCUUGACACCUAAGCCUAGACACCUAAGAUCCAUAUCUAUGGCAUGUGGAUUGAAACCCAUCAAAAGGAAUUCAGCCGCAUGCCAUGAAUAUUUAUCUAGGUGGAACUCCUUCUCGGGUACCAACAUCAGCAUGAAGUUUGGAAGACUCCUCAAAUUUCAUCCGAUCUUCAAAUUUUAUGUUCUUAUAGUCAUUAGAAAGCUACCGAUGUCUACUUUCCAACAAAAUUUGAAUCAACUUAAUCAAACUUCUAUAGCUCCCAAAAACUUCAAAAUACUAUAUAGUGUUCAAUCUAUCACGGAUUUCAAUUGGAUCUGAACUCUGAAUUUCUUCCACAUAUGAGAGGUCUUCAUGGUUGAACUUCUCUUUCUUUUGACAUGUGACCACUUCUAAUUAGCCAUCGACCCAUUCAUGCCUUGGACUCAAUCUAAUUGAUAUUGAAGAGGCUAACCCAUUGUGAAUUAAAUCACUUAUUGCAUGGACUCAAUCUAAUUUCAGCUUGGACUCAACUUUGCUUGGACUAAAAUUUUUUCCACUCCUUCACCGAAUGUCCCACGCCAUUAGAAUGAGGGUGGUGCUUCAUGGUUGGGCUUCAUCUCCACGCUCUCCCCAUGAUUCAAUUGGGCUCAACAUGAUUGAUAUUGGAACUCCUUGAACCCCAUGAAACUUGGUGCACACCCAAGAAGGGAACUCAAUCUCCAUGCCCAAGGGACUAGACCCAAUACUCCAUGCCCAAGGAGGAUGCUCCUGCAUCAAUUCCUCCCUUCUGAAAAAGACUCGACUCCGUCGAAUUUUGCAUUUGAUAGAGCUCGUAGAAGUUCGGGUUCAGCUGUUGGACUCCCUCCGUCUUUAAUCAUGUGCAAUCUGAAAUUAGUCGGUCCUCCAAUAAAAAACUUCUGGUAUCCUCCUCGGCAUGUGGGCAUGAUCGAUCAACUAGGAUUUCCUCAAUGGUGUCCAUCGGGGCUGAUCGUCGAAGAAGUGAUGAUGAUACAGGUGGGAUGUCUUCAUCUUUAACAUAGCGACCAUCAUAGGGCUGCAACUCUUCAACAUAGUGACUAUCGUAGGGCUGCAACUCUUCGACAUAGAAGAUGGGGUUAACCUGCAAAUCAUCUGAUAACUCGAGCACAAAGGUCUUGGGUGAAAGUUAUUCCUAGGUUCUUCGGUGUUUAGCAUGCUGAAUUUUUUUUUUUUUUGA